GUCUAUGGCCAAGCCACCCUGAAAGUGCCCGAUAUCGUCUGAUCUUGGAAAGUUAGCGGGAUUGGGUCUCAUCAGUACUUCGAUGGGAGAAAUCAGGCUGAUACACU
This 107-nucleotide ribosomal RNA is filed under the name Microcebus murinus (gray mouse lemur). The record is from RNAcentral. Lineage: Eukaryota; Metazoa; Chordata; Mammalia; Primates; Cheirogaleidae.